UGUAGAUCGAUGGACAGAGUGUAAAUCUGCCUCUUUGGGGACGGUACUGGUUGAAAACAAUGAUAAGGUGGUUAAAGAAAGUUUCAAAAGAUGAGAAUAAGAAAGGGUUAGAGAGAUUUGUAAAUUAGGUGAAGAGAAAUGUAGGAGAAAGGAAUGUUUGUCUCUCCUCCACCAACACAGACAGAUGUCAGCUUGUUUCUGCAGCAGGCAGCAGCAGAGUGUGAGGAAAGAUAAGAGCAACACAAAGAUGCAGAAAGGAUGCAAAGAGGAAGUGCAGAGAAAGUAGUUAUGAAGGUAAAGAGGUUUUUAGUGGAUUGAGAAUGUCUUUUUUUUUUUUGU
Molecule: long non-coding RNA, 339 nt
Organism: Stegastes partitus (bicolor damselfish)
Lineage: Eukaryota; Metazoa; Chordata; Actinopteri; Pomacentridae
Exons: 2
Source: RefSeq, a predicted model, not a curated record